Molecule: small nuclear RNA, 20 nt
Filed under: Arabidopsis thaliana (thale cress)
Lineage: Eukaryota; Viridiplantae; Streptophyta; Magnoliopsida; Brassicales; Brassicaceae
Description: snRNA_09809
Source: RNAcentral
GCACCGGAUCCCAUCAGAAC